GAUGGACGCUGGCGGCGUGCCUAAUACAUGCAAGUCGAGCGAACGGACGAGAAGCUUGCUUCUCUGAUGUUAGCGGCGGACGGGUGAGUAAAACGUGGAUAACCUACCUAUAAGACUGGGAUAACUUCGGGAAACCGUAGCUAAUACCGGAUAAUAUUUUGAACCGCAUGGUUCAAAAGUGAAAGACGGUCUUGCUGUCACUUAUAGAUGGAUCCGCGCUGCAUUAGCUAGUUGGUAAGGUAACGGCUUACCAAGGCAACGAUGCAUAGCCGACCUGAGAGGGUGAUCGGCCACACUGGAACUGAGACACGGUCCAGACUCCUACGGGAGGCAGCAGUAGGGAAUCUUCCGCAAUGGGCGAAAGCCUGACGGAGCAACGCCGCGUGAGUGAUGAAGGUCUUCGGAUCGUAAAACUCUGUUAUUAGGGAAGAACAUAUGUGUAAGUAACUGUGCACAUCUUGACGGUACCUAAUCAGAAAGCCACGGCUAACUACGUG
This 497-nucleotide ribosomal RNA is filed under the name uncultured bacterium. RNAcentral describes it as "partial 16S ribosomal RNA". It matches the Rfam family "Bacterial small subunit ribosomal RNA", at positions 28 to 507 of the family's 1533-position model. The record is from RNAcentral.